This 1358-nucleotide long non-coding RNA is filed under the name Prunus persica (peach). RNAcentral describes it as "long non-coding RNA (PPER_LNC006855)". The record is from RNAcentral. Lineage: Eukaryota; Viridiplantae; Streptophyta; Magnoliopsida; Rosales; Rosaceae.
UCGACUACAAAUUACUCAAUGUUCGACAAUUAUGUUCCAUUUAUAUUAAAUAAGUUGAAUAAUAGAUUUAGUAAUAGAGGUGUCAAAUGGGUCAGGUCAGCCUAUUACUGCUUUGGUUUGUGCUCAGGUCGGGCCAAGCUUGCUUAUUUAUGAAAAUAAUUAAGUGCCUGUUUGGCAUUACUUAUUUGGGGUGAUAAGUGAUUUUUUUUUUUUUUAAAAGGGAAGCCCAACCGGUUUGGUAAACUAUGAGAAAAUCACUUAUUGUUAGAAAUUGCUGUGAGAGAAAGAUAUAAAGGAAAGCAACUAAUGAGGUGCUUUCAUUUUCUAAUUUUGCAGGAAUCAGUUUCGAAGAGAAGCUGGAUUUAAUGAUUAUGCUACAAUCAUUUGCUGAUUAUGUGGGAAUCAAUACCAACAACAAAUUUAACAAAAAGUUUACCAAACACCAAAUUGCUUUCUCUCACAGCAAAGUUGACAGCGAUUAUUUUCACAGCACAACAAUGUCAAACUGUCCCUAAAUUCUAUUUGAGCCUGCAGCCCUAGCCCAUAUGAGCUUAGGCUUGGCUCUGGUUGGGACACUAAAUGGUCCAACAUGGGCCCAAGCCAAGCCUAACUUAUGUAUUUUUUUAUUUUUUAUUUUGUAGUUUUUUUAUAAUUUUUUUUCAAUAUUUUUUUUUUAUAAACAAGCAUGUAUAUACUAACAAGAUUUCUUAUUUGUUAGAAAAAGAAGCCAAUUCUAGAUUAUUGUUCAUGUUGAAAAAAAUUGAAACUUGAAGAACAAAAUCAUAAUUUUAUUUAUAAAGAAAGCAUUGAUUUUUAAAAUCUAUCAUUAGAAAAAAUAAUGGACUUAAAUUGAAGAUAUAAAUAUAAUAAUAUUGUACUUUUUUUCUCUUUAAAAAUAAUAAUAAUAUAAUAAAUGGGUUUCAGGCAGGGUCAACCGUUGGGCCGAGUUAACUCAUCCAGAGUAACCUAUACGUGUUGGGCCAUGCUGAGCUUCACUUUAAUCAGGCUCGUGGCGGCCAUCCAGAUUUAUACUCAAAGUUGUCUUCAAUGGUUGAGGGAGAGUCAGACGGCGAAGGGAGGGCUAGACAGCCACAUUAAAUUGAUUUGAACCGUGAGACUCAGCUGCAUCAACUUGUUAGAGCCAGCUAAUGACGAGGAUUAAGAAGAAAUCAAGGUCUAUCAAUUUCACCUGCAAAGAAGAAGCUGGUACAAAGUUGAAGCGUUUCUUUACCAAACUUGCAAAGUCAAAAGCCAAAGAUUCUAUAAAUAAAAGCAAAAGAUAUGUUCCAAAGGACAACGAAUCUCUCUCAAGAAUAAACAACUUAUUUGAACAACCUUCAAAUACUCUCGACUCAGAC